UACGAGGGAUGCAAGCGUUAUCCGGAAUCACUGGGCGUAAAGCGUCUGCAGGUUGCUAAGCAAGUCUGUGGUUAAAUUUUAAAGCUUAACUUUGAGAAAGCUGUUGAAACUACUUAGCUAGGGUAUUUAUAGGGGUAAGGGGAACUUCUGGUGUAGCGGUGAAAUGCGUAGAGAUUAGAAGGACCACCUGUGGCGAAGGCACCUUACUGGCUGAUUACCGACACUCAUAGACGAAAGCUAGGGGAGCGAAAGGG
This 254-nucleotide ribosomal RNA is filed under the name uncultured bacterium. RNAcentral's name for it is "partial 16S ribosomal RNA". It matches the Rfam family "Bacterial small subunit ribosomal RNA", at positions 524 to 776 of the family's 1533-position model. The record is from RNAcentral.